Molecule: non-coding RNA, 1339 nt
Organism: Pelobates cultripes (western spadefoot toad)
Lineage: Eukaryota; Metazoa; Chordata; Amphibia; Anura; Pelobatidae
Source: the annotation of a GenBank genome assembly
CUUACCUAUUGUUGUUGCAGCACGUGGGUGUGGAGCUCUCUCUUUUCGAUGUUGAGGCCUUCAUUGCUGGUUUCCAGGUGUCCGUAGUGGACCAAGGUGUGGCAUGGACGCAGGAUCAUUGGAGGACCAUAAUGGGAGCAACAGGACUGGCGCAGUUUGUACAUUCAUUAUCGUACGUAGAUGGAAUUAUUCACCCUCUAGAUCUGAAGAGCAUCUCUCUAUGCAGGUAAACUGAUAUUCAUGACAAUCUAGAAUGUAUUGAAAGUCUGCGGCUUUUUUAAAUAAGUGCAUUAAUCAUAUCUAGUUGAUCUGGAAGCAUUUUUCAAUUGAUUUAAUGAACAGGUGCAGGAAGCUGUAUCCAACCUGUCCAUUAAGAUUUUUGUACUAGAAAACCACAUAUGGUAAUUUUGUAGUAAAAAAAAUACCUUACAUUGUGUAGUUAUAUAAUGUGCACGUAUACGGUAUUGUGUAUAUAUAAACAUUAACAGUAUCAUAACAGUAUCAUACUAAGUGAUGCUUGCCCAUUAGUAAUUUGUGAUUGGUUGGUAUUACAAAUCAACCAAUCACAGCGCAGUGAGGGAAAUUCAAGACAGCUGAGAAGUAUAUAAAGGCUCUACUGUUUGAAUUGUGGCCAGUGUGAUGCCUUCAGCUAACUGAAUAGUACAGUAAUAUAUUACGUAAAUGUAGAAUAGGAAAAAACAAAAAACUAAAUCACAUUAAACUAGAUUUACAAAAAGCUCAUUACUGUAAGAGUUUAAAAUGAAAGUCAAAAGAACAUUCAAAUCUGGAUCAGAAGGGAGAUGUACUCUACAUUCUCUCCCAUCAUGCAUUUGUACCAAAGAUGUAGAAUGUUGGCACAAAUAAGUUGAUCUUUCGGUAGGGUAAAACAACCAUAUUUUUUCAGCAGCCAUUACAGCUUGCUUGUCCUUCUCCACUUUAAAAUAUUUUAACAGGUGCCUGAUGAACCUCAGGUAAGACGUCAAACCGGUUUAAAAAGGAUUUGACUACUUACAAUACAAUUGACACCAUAACCACUACAGUGCACAGUAGUAGUUAAGGUUCUUGGAGUGUUCUAAUUCACAGAAAGGAAAACUCACAGUGUGACUUCAUUAGUCCUUGUUUCCAACGCCGUAUGUUCUAUCACCCCUGCUCUUUCUAAAACACACACUUAUUGUGUUAGCUGUCUGUUACUUAUCUUUAGUACAAGACCUGUCUGCCCUCUCUUUCUCUACGAUACAGUAUAUGUAUCAUUUUUUUCCACACACCUCCAAUAAUAAUGCCACAUUACUUUUUCCCUUCCUUUUACAGAAAAAAUAAAACAAUAUAUCAAAGAGUGGAG